This 101-nucleotide small nuclear RNA is filed under the name Sorex araneus (European shrew). The record is from RNAcentral. Lineage: Eukaryota; Metazoa; Chordata; Mammalia; Eulipotyphla; Soricidae.
GUGCUCCCUUAGACAGCACAUAACUUGAAACAAUACUGGGAAGAUCAGCAUGACUCCAUGUAAAUAUGACAUGAACAUUAAUUGAAAUGUUUCCCACUUCU